AUUCUUUAGUUGCUCAAAAUAUGAUUUACUGUUUAAAGAAGAAAAGCACAUAUUUUAACAUCUGUCUUUUUUCCUGUUCUUUGCAGAGUUUUAUUACGCUGAAUUUCCCAUAAUCAGAUAGGGCCUUGUGCUGUUCAGCUGUAUUUCUGGACUUGAACUGAACAUCCGAAGACUCUAGAUAACACCCCCAAAAGAGGAGGAGCAUGAUGGAGGAGAGUGGAGGAGAAAAAGAAGAGAACAAGGCAGGAGAAGGAAAAGUGAGGUAAAAGGAGCAAAGGAUGCUGAUUCUGCCAAACUUGUCUGAAAUAUGCUGGGCAUGUACUCUCAGCAAAAAGUGGGUACCACUGUAAAAAUAACAGUUCUCCUGUUACAAGGAAUUGAUGUUUUCCUUCAGGCUGCAUCAUUCCUCCCACAGUUUUGGGAAGGAUUUUUCCUGAGUAGUGGUCCAAUCAGUGACCUAACUCUGAUAUUGAGGUUGGGGAUGGACCAGCUCAAGUAAUAUGAGGGAAGUCCAUCUAACAACUAGAAUCCAGGAUGUCCUGGGACCUUGAAUCCUUCAGAGGGCACUUGUGGGAACCCUAGAUCAGGCAAUUCAGAGGCACUUACUGGUCUUAGACUAUGCUGUGUCUGUUAAUUCUGUUUUAUCAACACAAGUGCUGGUUUUGAAGGCAUUGGAGCUAUAAUAAUGACAAAUAGGCAAAAUGCAAAUCAAUUGCUUUUGAUAGCAUAGUUUGAUUGACCGGAUGCCAAAGUCACAAAUUUGAAAUUUUCUUAACCUAAAAUGAACUAGCCUUGAAAAGUUUUGGAAAUGUAUAAUGGAUACUUUCAAGUUUAUGAUAAUCUACUCACAUACAUAUUCAACAUUUGGAAAUAGAUGUCACAGGUAAGAGAGGACGCCAAAUUAUCUAACUAUUGUUUUAAUUUCACAGAUUGGAUCUUAGGACCAAGGGUGUAGAUGCUCUUUCCAAUUGGCCUCACUUGAGAGGCACCAAAUCUGUUUCUAUGGAAUGGAGUUAGGGCAAAAUGAGAAGCAAUCAAGACUCCAGGGCUGCAUCUGCAGUAGUGCUUAUGAUCACCAUUGAUGAUGUGGCUUGAAGUGAAUAUGCUCAGUUAGUGGUAGAAGAGGAGAAAAGGUAGAGUCAGCUCAACCUGUGUUGAGGGACAAGGAACAGAAGGAAGAUCAGUGCCUCUCAGGGAGGGACAGAGGACAGCCUUUUGUCUUUUUUCACAUUCACAAAUACAUGAUGCCAUAUCUAGAAUACUUUCUUUUAUCUAUGUGUCUAUCCUACAAAUAUGAAAUCUUCGUAAUCACCUUACUCCCCCCAACAACAGUUUAAAUUUUCAUUGGGAUUACAUUGAAUCCAUUAAAAAAUAUUUCUAUCAGCUCUGCUUUGAAAUCUCUGUAUUUACAUCCAUUUUGAAACUUUUUUACUGAGUAAAGAAAUUUGAGUUGUUUUUUUAUUCAGUACUUUAGAAAUGUUUUUCCACUUUGCCUAACUUGCACAGUUUCCAGAAAGAAGUUGUUCACCUUCUUACUCUUGUUUUUCUGUAUGUAGUGUCUGUUUUUCUUGUAGCCUUCAAGAUCUUUUAUGUUUAGAUUUCAUUAUUUUGCCUAUGGUGUGUUUAGGUGUGUUUUUCUUUGUAUUUAUCCUACUUGGGUUUCUCUGAACUUCUGAAUCUGUAGUGUGCUUUCAGUAAUAGAAAGUUCCCUUUCCUUUCCAUUUCCUAAUAUUACAAUUACAUGUAUAUUGUUUUGAUAUUGUUUUGUGAGAUGUGCUGAGCUACUGGUUGCUCAGUUAUUUCUUUCACUCCUUGAAUAUCUUCAUGGUUCAGUUUGAUUAAUUUCUAUUGACCUAUCUAAAGUUCUCUGAUUCUUUCCUCUACUGGGUACUCAUUCAGUCAUCCGUUAAACCCAUUAAAGGACUUCUUCAUUUUCACUUACAGCAUUUCCAUCUGACUCUACUAAUAGUUUCCACUUCUCCGCUGAAAACUCACAUCUGUUCACUGUGUUCAUCUUUCCACUAGAUCCUUUAACAUAAUAAUUAUAGUGAUUUUAAAAGCCCUGUCUGAUGGUUCCAAUACUUGGUCUAUCUCUGUUUCUGCUGCUUGUUUUAUUUCUUCACAAUGGAUACUUUUCACUUCAUUUUUUUCUGUGUCUCAUAAUUUUUUAUUGAAUGCUGGCCAUUGUGUAAAAAACAGUUGAGAUUGAAAUAAUGUUUAUGCUUAGAAAUGGGUACAUGUCCUUUCUGUUAAGAUGUUUGUGGUGACCAUUUAUUUAAUGUAGUUAUAAUUCAGUUGGAUAUGGGUUUUGAUUUUUCUACAGCUAACUUCAGUGUACCACAAGCUUCAAAUUUCUCCAGUGGAGUUCUAUAAUUACACUGUUCUUUAUAUAAAGCUUGGAGUGCCAGAAAGUUUGUCUCAGUAUUGCUGUUCCACUCCCAGUUUUAGCAGACCCUGAACACUGGUGUCACAUGGGUCUUUUAUUUCUUUAUGAUCUUAUUCCUAUCACAAUGAUGGGCUGCUAGUACCUGUAACUCAGUUCAAGGUUCCUGGUGAAAGCAUGGGUCAUCUCUGUUCUCCAGGUACUGCUGUGCAACC
Aethalodelphis obliquidens (Pacific white-sided dolphin) is the source of this 2598-nucleotide long non-coding RNA. RefSeq lists it as uncharacterized. The record is from RefSeq and is a predicted model, not a curated record. The transcript is spliced from 2 exons. NCBI's taxonomy places the organism in Eukaryota, Metazoa, Chordata, Mammalia, Artiodactyla, Delphinidae.